AUUGAACGCUGGCGGCAGGCCUAACACAUGCAAGUCGAGCGGAGCGGCGGACGGGUGAGUAAUGCCUAGGAAUCUGCCUGGUAGUGGGGGAUAACGUCCGGCAACGGGCGCUAAUACCGCAUACUAUCAGAUGAGCCUAGGUGGGAUGAGCUAGGUGGUGGGGUAAGGGCCUACCAAGGCGACGAUCCGUAACUGGGCUGGGAGGAUGAUCAGUCACACUGGAACUGAGACGCGGUCCAGACUCCGCAGGGAGGCAGCAGUGGGGAAUAUUGGGCAAUGGGCUAAAGCUUGGUACAGCCAUGCCGGGUGUGUGGAGAAGGUCUUCGGAGUUUAAAGCUCUUAAAGUUGGGAUGCGGUAGCUGGAGAAUAAGCACCGGCUAACUUCGUGCCAGCAGCCGCGGUAAUUC
Molecule: ribosomal RNA, 407 nt
Filed under: uncultured bacterium
Lineage: Bacteria
Description: partial 16S ribosomal RNA
Rfam family: Bacterial small subunit ribosomal RNA
Source: RNAcentral